This 1224-nucleotide ribosomal RNA is filed under the name metagenome. Its description in RNAcentral is "bacterial LSU rRNA". It matches the Rfam family "Bacterial large subunit ribosomal RNA", at positions 1718 to 2925 of the family's 2925-position model. The record is from RNAcentral.
AAAAAUGGCACCGUAACUUCGGGAGAAGGUGCGCCGGUGAGGGUGAAGCAUUUACUGCGUAAGCUCAUGCCGGUCGAAGAUACCAGGCCGCUGCGACUGUUUAUUAAAAACACAGCACUCUGCAAACACGAAAGUGGACGUAUAGGGUGUGACGCCUCCCCGGUGCCGGAAGGUUAAUUGAUGGGGUUAGCUAACGCGAAGCUCUUGAUCGAAGCCCCGGUAAACGGCGGCCGUAACAAUAACGGUCCUAAGGUAGCGAAAUUCCUUGUCGGGUAAGUUCCGACCUGCACGAAUGGCGUAACGAUGGCGGCGCUGUCUCCACCCGAGACUCAGUGAAAUUGAAAUCGCUGUGAAGAUGCAGUGUAUCCGCGGCUAGACGGAAAGACCCCGUGAACCUUUACUAUAGCUUUGCACUGGACUUUGAAUUUGCUUGUGUAGGAUAGGUGGGAGGCUUUGAAGCGAGGACGCCAGUUCUUGUGGAGCCAAUCUUGAAAUACCACCCUGGCAACUUUGAGGUUCUAACUCUGGUCCGUUAUCCGGAUCGAGGACAGUGUAUGGUGGGUAGUUUGACUGGGGCGGUCUCCUCCUAAAGAGUAACGGAGGAGUACGAAGGUGCGCUCAGACCGGUCGAAAUCGGUCGUAGAGUAUAAAGGCAAAAGCGCGCUUGACUGCGAGACAGACACGUCGAGCAGGUACGAAAGUAGGUCUUAGUGAUCCGGUGGUUCUGUAUGGAAGGGCCAUCGCUCAACGGAUAAAAGGUACUCCGGGGAUAACAGGCUGAUACCGCCCAAAAGUUCAUAUCGACGGCGGUGUUUGGCACCUCGAUGUCGGCUCAUCACAUCCUGGGGCUGAAGCCGGUCCCAAGGGUAUGGCUGUUCGCCAUUUAAAGUGGUACGCGAGCUGGGUUUAGAACGUCGUGAGACAGUUCGGUCCCUAUCUGCCGUGGACGUUUGAGAUUUGAGAGGGGCUGCUCCUAGUACGAGAGGACCGGAGUGGACGAACCUCUGGUGUUCCGGUUGUCACGCCAGUGGCAUCGCCGGGUAGCUAUGUUCGGAAUAGAUAACCGCUGAAAGCAUCUAAGCGGGAAACUAGCCUCAAGAUGAGAUCUCACUGGGACCUUGAGUCCCCUGAAGGGCCGUCGAAGACUACGACGUUGAUAGGUGGGGUGUGUAAGCGUUGUGAGGCGUUGAGCUAACCCAUACUAAUUGCCCGUGAGGCUUGACC